Small nucleolar RNA from Papaver somniferum (opium poppy), 101 nucleotides. Lineage: Eukaryota; Viridiplantae; Streptophyta; Magnoliopsida; Ranunculales; Papaveraceae. The record is from RefSeq and is a predicted model, not a curated record.
UGAUGUAGUGAUGAUUUUUUAAGCAAUCCCAGGUCAUUACGAGACCUUUUUUUGUGGAAGGUCGGGGAAUUUAAUCAUGUCCAUUUUAUAUCUGAGCAUCC